UACAGAGGGCGCAAGCGUUGUUCGGAAUUAUUGGGCGUAAAGAGCUCGUAGGCGGUUUGUUGCGUCGGCUGUGAAAUCCCGAGGCUCAACCUCGGGUCUGCAGUCGAUACGAGCAAACUAGAGUGUUGCAGGGGAGACUGGAAUUCCUGGUGUAGCGGUGAAAUGCGCAGAUAUCAGGAGGAACACCGGUGGCGAAGGCGGGUCUCUGGGCAACAACUGACGCUGAGGAGCGAAAGUGUGGGGAGCGAACAGG
RNAcentral lists this ribosomal RNA (253 nucleotides) under uncultured bacterium. Its description in RNAcentral is "partial 16S ribosomal RNA". It matches the Rfam family "Bacterial small subunit ribosomal RNA", at positions 524 to 776 of the family's 1533-position model. The record is from RNAcentral.